Molecule: ribosomal RNA, 492 nt
Filed under: uncultured bacterium
Lineage: Bacteria
Description: partial 16S ribosomal RNA
Rfam family: Bacterial small subunit ribosomal RNA
Source: RNAcentral
AGUGAACGCUGGCGGUAGGCCUAACACAUGCAAGUCGAACGGCAGCACAGUAAGAGCUUGCUCUUACGGGUGGCGAGUGGCGGACGGGUGAGGAAUACAUCGGAAUCUACUUUUUCGUGGGGGAUAACGUAGGGAAACUUACGCUAAUACCGCAUACGACCUACGGGUGAAAGCAGGGGAUCUUCGGACCUUGCGCGAUUGAAUGAGCCGAUGUCGGAUUAGCUAGUUGGCGGGGUAAAGGCCCACCAAGGCGACAAUCCGUAGCUGGUCUGAGAGGAUGAUCAGCCACACUGGAACUGAGACACGGUCCAGACUCCUACGGGAGGCAGCAGCGGGGAAUAUUGGACAAUGGGCGCAAGCCUGAUCCAGCCAUACCGCGUGGGUGAAGAAGGCCUUCGGGUUGUAAAGCCCUUUUGUUGGGAAAGAAAAGCAGCAGGUUAAUACCCCGCUGUUCUGACGGUACCCAAAGAAUAAGCACCGGCUAACUUCGUG